RNAcentral lists this ribosomal RNA (253 nucleotides) under uncultured bacterium. Its description in RNAcentral is "partial 16S ribosomal RNA". It matches the Rfam family "Bacterial small subunit ribosomal RNA", at positions 524 to 776 of the family's 1533-position model. The record is from RNAcentral.
UACGUAGGGUGCGAGCGUUGUCCGGAAUUAUUGGGCGUAAAGGGCUCGUAGGCGGCCAACUAAGUCAGACGUGAAAUCCCUCGGCUUAACCGGGGAACUGCGUCUGAUACUGGAUGGCUUGAGUUUGGGAGAGGGAUGCGGAAUUCCAGGUGUAGCGGUGAAAUGCGUAGAUAUCUGGAGGAACACCGGUGGCGAAGGCGGCAUCCUGGGCCAACACUGACGCUGAGGAGCGAAAGCCAGGGGAGCAAACGGG